Molecule: long non-coding RNA, 645 nt
Filed under: Homo sapiens (human)
Lineage: Eukaryota; Metazoa; Chordata; Mammalia; Primates; Hominidae
Description: non-protein coding lnc-PPID-1:4
Source: RNAcentral
AGUACUCCGGGCACGCGGGGGACGCGGACGGGGGCAGGCGCGGCACUUAAAGGGGCCCGAGGGGCGAGGGCGGCCGCCGGGGCGCAGCUCCGCGAGUGGCGUGGGGUUCCCACGGAGCCUGGGUUCUUUCGCACAGCGAGCAUGCAGCUAGGCCGAUCUUUGUUCUUUAGAGACAAAGCCCCUGAACUUGGGUCCUCGCUUUGUUCAGCUGUCAAGAGGAGCAGGGAAUAAGACAAUAUCCUGAAUGCUUGGAGAUGACAGAACAACACUAAAAUGGGAAAGGGGAAGUUGUAAAGGGCUGACUUACUUAGUCCGGUCCAUUCUGAGUCCUGGUGACAGUUCUCAAUUAGUGGAUAUUAUGUAAGUUGUUUUAGUUCUGCUUCUGCAAUUAGACUGUCAUUGAUACCGUUUGUAGCCUAUGUAAUACCUGUUACCCUUAUUCCUAACAGGAGGCAAGAGAGAAAGGAGCUGGAGGAAAAGGAGUAAUUCUGGAAAAAGUUUCCUCACUCUUAAUAGAAAGAGAGAGAGAGAGAGAUAGGUGGGUUUUUUUCUUCCUUUGGAUGUUAUAUGUCUAGGUCUAAUGCCAUCUUGCUACAAGCCUAAAGAUGAAACCAGGACUGGAGAUGGCAAAGAGACAUAGAAGCG